AUUGAACGCUGGCGGCAGGCCUAACACAUGCAAGUCGAACGGCAGCGGGGGAUAGCUUGCUAUCCUGCCGGCGAGUGGCGGACGGGUGAGUAAUGCAUGGGGAGCUGCCCAGUCGAGGGGGAUAACAACUGGAAACGGUUGCUAAUACCGCAUACGCCCUAAGGGGGAAAAGUGGGGAACUUCGGUCCUACCGCGAUUGGAUGCGCCCAUGUGGGAUUAGCUAGUUGGUGAGGUAACGGCUCACCAAGGCGACGAUCUCUAGCUGGUCUGAGAGGAUGACCAGCCACACUGGAACUGAGACACGGUCCAGACUCCUACGGGAGGCAGCAGUGGGGAAUAUUGCACAAUGGGGGAAACCCUGAUGCAGCCAUGCCGCGUGUGUGAAGAAGGCCUUCGGGUUGUAAAGCACUUUCAGUCGGGAGGAAGGGGUGAUGGCUAAUAUCCAUCAUCAUUGACGUUACUGACAGAAGAAGCACCGGCUAACUCCGUGCCAGCCGCCGCUGUAA
Molecule: ribosomal RNA, 506 nt
Filed under: uncultured bacterium
Lineage: Bacteria
Description: partial 16S ribosomal RNA
Rfam family: Bacterial small subunit ribosomal RNA
Source: RNAcentral